This 21-nucleotide non-coding RNA is filed under the name Arabidopsis thaliana (thale cress). The record is from RNAcentral. Lineage: Eukaryota; Viridiplantae; Streptophyta; Magnoliopsida; Brassicales; Brassicaceae.
CGUCAAUCCGAUUAGCCUUAC